This 722-nucleotide ribosomal RNA is filed under the name uncultured fungus. RNAcentral's name for it is "eukaryotic LSU rRNA". It matches the Rfam family "Eukaryotic large subunit ribosomal RNA", at positions 24 to 664 of the family's 3401-position model. The record is from RNAcentral. Lineage: Eukaryota; Fungi.
CCCGCUGAACUUAAGCAUAUCAAUAAGCGGAGGAAAAGAAACUAACAAGGAUUCCCUUAGUAACGGCGAGUGAAGUGGGAAUAGCUCAAAUUUUAAAUCGGUGGGCUUUGCUCUCCGAGUUGUAAUCUAUAGAGUCGUUUUCUGUCUAAGCGGUGGUACAAGUUCCCUGGAAAGGGGCAUCAGAGAGGGUGAGAAUCCCGUACCUGACCACGAGCUGAUGGCUAUAUGAUACGGCUUCUACGAGUCGAGUUGUUUGGGAAUGCAGCUCAAAAUGGGUGGUAAAUUUCAUCUAAAGCUAAAUAAUGGCAAGAGACCGAUAGCGAACGAGUACCGUGAGGGAAAGAUGAAAAGCACUUUGAAAAGAGAGUUAAAUAGUACGUGAAAUUGUUAAAAGGGAAACGAUUAAGGCCAGUAUUUUCUGCUAGACUCUGCCAACCUUGGUUGGUUUAUUCUCUAGUGGAAAAGUCAGCAUCAGUUUUGUUUGCCGGAUAGAGUUAGCAGGAAGGUGACUCUUUUUAAGAGUUUUAUAGACUGUUAGCAGAACGGCGAGCGGGGACUGAGGACUGCAGCGUAGCGCAAGCAUUUCCAGAUCUUUUCUAUGUGACUCUAGGCUUUUUGGGCAACUAUUGACCAGAGAGUACUAGUAUUUCAUAAGUUGAGUAUGGUUACAUACGCUUAGGAUGCUGACGAAAUGGUCUUAAACGACCCGUCUUGAAACACGG